GUGAUUUUAUAUAGAUGUAUUUACAUAAAAUGACAAGCCAACAACCAUAUAACUAUAGAAACUUGGGUAAAAAGUUGUACUGAGAUUGGCAAUUGUGCUGCAUGAAUUGAUCCAGUAUAACCACUGCAAACAUUAUGUCAAUCUGAAACUGAUCACAGUGUGUACAAGACGACAUUGAACUCAAGCUGUUUGCUAUAUUACAUUGAACCUUAGGUUGAUAUUACGAACUUAGUUGCGAGACAGUUGACUAUGAAUUUCAUGCAUGGAAAUUAGUUAAAUGAAAAAAAAUAUAUAUGUGUGUGAAGCAAGGUUGCCUUUCCUUGAAUAGGUGCCAAGUUUUUUCUGCCAAGAAUUACAAUGACCAAGCUCAAGAUCUUCUCUCCAACUUCUUUUCACUAGAUCUUUUUUCUUCUGCCUCUCGCCGUUUCUGCUGCCUGCAACGUAAGUGUUUAAUGAUAUUAAAAUUAAUAAUUUCUUUAACUGAAAUCCAAAUAAUUUAAAUAAUACAUCACCAUCCAACUUAGCAAUUCUAAAUUUUCCAAACAUCUCACAUAUCUAUAAGGGAUCAAGAUACAUCAAAACAUAUGUCACUAACAAAUCUCCAUAUUGAAGAGAUACCCUAAGAGAUUAACAGGCAAGCAAAGCAAUCAUUUUAAAUCUUUUCUUAUACAUAGUACCAAUUAAAUGGAUCCCGUUCACAAAACUUCAUUGGAAUUAUAAUGUAAUAGAACCACUAACUUAUCCAGAACACAUUAAGGGUUUCCAGUGCAAAAGGCUUCCCACAUUAUGGGCACUGGGAAGAGUUAGAUAUCAAGAAUAAAUUGAAGGAAAAAAAUUUUCAAACAACUCAAGGAGAGAAUGAUGCAUGUAAUAGCCCAAUAUACAUACAUGUCCAAAGCAAUGGAAUCAAGAGGGGAGCUAAAGAUUCAUAGAAAGGUGAUAAAUAAUAAUUAAUACAAGAAAACUUACACAAAAGCUGUGUAUCCAGCACCAACAUUAGCAGCAGAUAAAAGUGCUGCAUGGGCUGCCACUGUGGUUAAAGAAUCCUGUCCACCAGUUGGUAGAAGAUUUUUUCCAUCACCGUCGACCUGAAACAAAUAGAAAGUUCAGAAUGGUGAUUCAACCAAUACCAAAAGUAUCUAAAUGCUUGCUAUGUUUGGGAAGAGAGAAAAAUAAAAGAAAAAUAAAUGGGGGAAAAUAAGAAGAGAAAAUUAUUUUACUUUCUUUGGGAAACAAAAGUAAGGGCAAGGAAAGUGAGUGGAAAAAUAAUAAAAGAUUUCCCUUAGGGUCCACAGAAAGUACUGUCUACAAAUUUGGAGUAAAAGAAAAAUCUAUAAAUUAUUUUGAGAGAUUAAAAGAAAAAUCUAUAAAUAAACUUGUUAUGCUUCAUUGGUGAAUUGUCCUACAGAAUAUCAAGGUUAAAGCUGUAGUUUUAAAAAACUUUCCCUCUCAGUUUCUUUGUAUUGUAUGAAGAGAAAGUAAACCUUAUCCCAUUUUGACUUCUUGUUCUGUCUACCAUCCCGAACAACUGCAUCAGCUGUGGUUGAUGCAGAAUGCAACCCACUAGGAGCAGCAACUGGAAUAGGCAGGCUAAACUUUGGUGGGGCCGCAACCUGAGCAGGCUGAGUUCCUCCAGAAAUAAAUUCAACCUUAGGACUCUUCUUCAGCUCUUGUUCCUUCCUCUCCUUUUCACGUCUCAUAUCAGCUUCUGCUUUGCAAAAAUAAAUGUCAAUGGCAAUAAAUUACAUUUGAAAAAAAAUGCAACAAGUAGACAGCAUCAUAGAUGACUUUGAAAAAAAACCAGCAAUUGCUGUGUAAAGAGAAGAUUUUUAUCCUAUGGACCAACCCCUGUUACUUCAACUUUUUGCUUUACGCCAAAGUACUUGUGUUGGACACAUAUUAGAAACCUACAAUUAAUGAGAUAAUUGAGUUUGAGUACAAAACUCAAAAUAUGAGAAGAAAGGUAUGAAAAAGUUAAAUGAACCCAAACCAGGUAGGACAUAAGUUUGACCAAGCAAAAUAUAUCCAAGUAAUAUCAAAGCCAAGCAAAAAUCUAUAAAGCAUGUGAUUAACAGCUGGGAAUUUUUUUUAAGGCUUCGUAACAUAUGCAUUCUGGAAAAAGUCAGGCAACAUGAACUAAUUUCACUUCUAUAAUCACAACGUCAAAGAAAAAAUUUUAUGAUUCCCGAUGUCGACACAGCCCUACUAUCAGAAUUAGCAAAAACUGCAAGAUGAUAAGACCACUUUGGUAGUUUGUUCCGUUUUCAGGUAACUUUCAUAACUAUCCAGAAUUAGAAAGUAACAUAGCAAAAGAAAAAUUCUAGAGUCUAGACUACUUCCAUUACUCUUGACCACAAAACACAGCUCAUUUCAGUUAACUGUAAAAACUUUGACCAAAUCACAAAAUCAAACUUACUAAAACCCACAUUAGCUAAAACGAGUUACACACCCUACAGUUACAUCUUUAAAAUAAACGGAGGGAAAAUUGCAUGAGGAACUGUUGUUAACCUAUUUCAUCAUAGAAGUCGCUUUUGUCAUAUCCAUGAGGGUCAAAUACAUCUUUACUGAAGCAAGACCCAAUCUGAUCAAUAUCUUGAUACCUAACUGCAUGCAGCAAGAAGUCAGGGUUCCGAUAAUCCUUUCUAUUGCGGACUUCUGCAUUGAAGCUUCUGCCAACCUUCUUCAAAGCAAGAAAUUUAUCUAUUUUCCUUUGCAGUUCCUCUGGACACAUCUCUUUGGGUGGUGGGGGAAGAAAUUUAUCCAAUGAAUCAACAUCUUCUGCAGGAACAUUAGCAGCGCCUUCAUUUUCUGCAGCUUCUGAUUGAAUAACAACAUUAUUCAUUUCAUCAGGUUGUGAUGUUUCUAAAAGUUCUGAUGAUUGAGGAGUUGCUUGAGCACUAGGGGUUAAAACCUGAACAGUUCCUGCAGGCGUUAUUUCUUGGCUAGCACCAGUAGCUAUUUGAAGCUCAUCACCAAAUUCCCCUUCAUCGGGUUCAGGAGACAUAGCAACUUCAUCGUGAGCAUAGUCCACAAUGGUAAGCCUCCCUCUUCCGCUUCUCUUCACCUCCAAAUUAACCACCCGUUGCUGCUGCUGCUGCAGCGACGAUAAGAACGAAACUUGAGGCUGCUGCGGCGUCAAAGGCCGCAACAAACCGUCCUUAGGUGUCGAAUUCUGAUUGAGAGGAGGCGGCGAAGCAUCAUUAAGCAAUUCAUCAGUAACCAUUGCAUUAUUCAGUGAAUCAGGUCCCGCCUCGUUUGAUUCUCUAUAGUCGUUCUGAUCUUCCAGCUGCUCGUCUUCUUGUUUUUGCUGAUGUUCUUCGUGUUGCUGUUCAUCAAGAUCUUCCAUAUCUUCAUCGUCUUCAUCGUUGUACAUUGAGAGUAAAGCGAUUCCUUCUGACUGUUUCUUCCUCGACGCCAUGAAAUUGGAAAUUUAGGGCUAGGGUUUCCGAUUUCAAGGGCCCAGAAUCAAAAUUUGGUGAAUUAUAGGAUUAGGCGUCGUCUUCGAUAUGUUGAUUGGUGUAUCAAAUUUGGGGGUUUUUCCAUAGAGAUUUUUGAACGGAGAAAACAGAAGCUGCUAAUGGUUCGGUUGGGUUAAGAAUACGGAUUCGGGUCCCAAAACUUAACUGAAUU
RNAcentral lists this unclassified non-coding RNA (3630 nucleotides) under Hevea brasiliensis (rubber tree). Lineage: Eukaryota; Viridiplantae; Streptophyta; Magnoliopsida; Malpighiales; Euphorbiaceae. The record is from RNAcentral.